GUUGAAAUACUGCAAGCAACUCAAAACAUCACUAUCAUGCAAGUUGAUAAAGUUAUAGGUCAUAUUAAGAACUAUGAGACGAAGUACUAUGGAAAUUCCUAAAAACCUAAGGGCUGCUUGGAUUGCAACUCUCGGAACAGUUUUCUGUUCUGGGAGUUACAAAAAUUAAAAACAGUUUUUUUUUCUACUUGGAUCUAUUUCUUAAAAACAGUUUUUAUAAAACAGAGUUCUCAGAGUGUCAGUUUUAUGAGAACAAAAAAAAACCGUUUUGAUAGUUUUCUGAAAACUGGGCGCUACUUUGAAAACACGGAGAACUGAUAUUGGACUUAAAAAAAAAUACGGUGAUACCCUGUCGCUUAUAACAAAGGCGCUGCGUCUCUCUCCAACAUUUCUCUGCAACUUGCCUCUCUCUCUCUCAAGAUUGUUUCUUACUACAGAGAAGACAGAUCUACGGUUUUUGAAGGUCUCUUUAUUCAUGAAGAACAAACAUCACACCCUCUCUCCCUUUCUCUCUCUACAAUUACCCUCUCCCCUUUCUCUCUCUACGAUUACCCUCUCUCCUGUCCCUUUCUACGAUUCAUGGGGUUUUUGAUGUUUUCUAGCAUAUCUAAUCUGGGUUGAGGGUUUGAUUUGGUUUGUAUUCUCUAGAGUUCCCACUCACAUGGGUGUUGGGCUCCGGAUCUACUACUUGGAAGACUUUCGAUCUAUUCUGACAACUUGGUGAAUAAUGGUGGUUUUGAGGAAGGUUCCCAUAGGUUGAUGAACUCUUCCAAUGGUGUUCUUCUUCCUCCCAAACUGGAGGAUCUCAUAUCCCCACUCCUUGGUUGUUUGAUUGAAGCAUUCACCGCCAAAGAUACCCUGAAAAGUUCCUUCAAAUCCAAGGGUUCAAGACCGCUAGUUUCAAGUUCAAAGCAAUUUCAGCCUGGACCAGACUAACAUUCAUCAUCUUAUACAUACUAUCACACUAGGGUAGAUGACUUUGGUUCGCUUUGUGGUCCUAUCCUGCUUGAUCAAGUUAGGGUUUUCUUUGUUGGUUAGAAAUGUUAAUCUGUCAUCAUCACCAAACUACAAAUGGAUCAUGUGUUAUAUUAGAAUUGAUGCUCUUGCAAUCACCAUUUGAUAUCUAUAAAUUGGCCACUUGGUCCAUGUAUGAUACACACAUCUUAAUACAACAUUCAAGAGCACAUCUCUAUUGUAAAUUGGCCACUUGGUCCAUGUAUGAUACACACGUCUUAAUUUAACAUUCAAGAGCAUUUUCAGUGGUUGCAA
Molecule: long non-coding RNA, 1269 nt
Organism: Cornus florida
Lineage: Eukaryota; Viridiplantae; Streptophyta; Magnoliopsida; Cornales; Cornaceae
Exons: 2
Source: RefSeq, a predicted model, not a curated record